GGGUCAGUAGGUUGGUCGUGCCACCGGUACGUACUGGUCUCACUGACUCCUCCUUCCUGAAGAACCGUAAUGUCAUUAAUUUGGUGUUGCGGGGAAACAGGACUGUUACUUUGAAAAAAUUAGAGUGUUUAAAGCAAGCUAACGCUUGAAUACAUUAGCAUGGAAUAAUGAAAUAGGACGAUCGAUCCUAUUUUGUUGGUUUCCAGGAUUGACGUA
RNAcentral lists this ribosomal RNA (216 nucleotides) under Glomeromycotina sp. RNAcentral's name for it is "partial small subunit ribosomal RNA". The stretch from base 54 to 216 matches the Rfam family "Eukaryotic small subunit ribosomal RNA", at positions 700 to 864 of the family's 1831-position model. The record is from RNAcentral. Lineage: Eukaryota; Fungi; Glomeromycota.